AACAAAGGCAGGAAAACAUCCCAUUCACUCAGCGAGGCCGCGGGGCUGCUCCCAGCAGGGCUUCCUGAGGGAUUUUUAGGGCGGCAGAGAAGGGAGCGGCCGUGCCAGGCGGGAGCUGAGCUGCGGGCACAGGGGGGGCUGCUCGAGGCUGACAGGAGACCCCUCGGCCUGUUCACACUCAGCCAGGCCAGGCCAGGCUUUUUUUGACCCGAAGUCGGCAGAGAAGCUGUUAGUGGGGAGCCUGAGCGGGACGGAGCGGAUGCAUUCCUGACUCCUGCCCUCGGGGAGCAUAGCAAGGGAAUGAGGCACAGACACAGGACUGACUCACCUCCCUCCUGUGCUGCCCCGGAGAGCAGCGGCUGGGCUGGAUGCAGAUCAAAAGGUCCCAGCUGUUAAAGCCAUGAUUGCAGGAUUUCCCAGACUCGCUGGAAAAGCACGUAUGCCAUUGUGUCCCACGGCUGGAACAGGAAAACGCCUGAAAAUCCGAGCCACAGGCUCCCAACACAAACCGUCUCCUCGCCGCCGACGCUCUCCAACCUCAUUUUUCUUUCAACUCUUCCUAAAUGGCUUUGGAGUUUUGCAGGGCCGGCUUUCGGCUCCCCCCAGAACUGCUCCUAUCCCACGCUGGGGGAACUUUUCGGCCUCGUGUAUCCCAAAGCCAUCCACGUGGCCGCUCACGUGCCACGGCCUCGGGAUACUCGGAGCCACUGGCCUCUGUCCCCUGGUGUCACCUGGGUCCCGACUCCAGCCCACAGCCAGCCAAGUGUGAAGCAGAAACCGGGGCCAGUUGUGCUCCAGCCACCCCAGCCUGGAUUCCCCAGCCCUCCACACAAAUCCAGCCCCACAAAACCACGGAGUCUGUGGCUUUGUCGGCCCGCACGGAACACGGCGUGGCACCGAAACGCCUCUGCCGGCUCAGGAGUGGCCAGGACAGCUCCCAGCACGGAGCCAGAGCCUCUCCCUGCCCCGGGGAGGUUCCCAACGAAGCCAUUUAAUAAACUGCAGGACAAGA
Corapipo altera (White-ruffed manakin) is the source of this 1012-nucleotide long non-coding RNA. RefSeq lists it as uncharacterized. The transcript is spliced from 2 exons. Lineage: Eukaryota; Metazoa; Chordata; Aves; Passeriformes; Pipridae. The record is from RefSeq and is a predicted model, not a curated record.